UACUACGGGAGGCAGCAGUAGGGAAUCUUCCGCAAUGGACGAAAGUCUGACGGAGCAACGCCGCGUGAGCGAUGAAGGCCUUCGGGUCGUAAAGCUCUGUUGUCAGGGAAGAACAAGUACCGGAGUAACUGCCGGUACCUUGACGGUACCUGACCAGAAAGCCACGGCUAACUACGUGCCAGCAGCCGCGGUAAUACGUAGGUGGCAAGCGUUGUCCGGAAUUAUUGGGCGUAAAGCGCGCGCAGGCGGUUCCUUAAGUCUGAUGUGAAAGCCCCCGGCUCAACCGGGGAGGGUCAUUGGAAACUGGGGAACUUGAGUGCAGAAGAGGAGAGCGGAAUUCCACGUGUAGCGGUGAAAUGCGUAGAGAUGUGGAGGAACACCAGUGGCGAAGGCGGCUCUCUGGUCUGUAACUGACGCUGAGGCGCGAAAGCGUGGGGAGCGAACAGGAUUAGAUACCCUGGUAGUCCACGCCGUAAACGAUGAGUGCUAAGUGUUAGAGGGUUUCCGCCCUUUAGUGCUGCAGCAAACGCAUUAAGCACUCCCC
RNAcentral lists this ribosomal RNA (544 nucleotides) under bacterium A5S_VP6_D11. RNAcentral's name for it is "bacterial SSU rRNA". It matches the Rfam family "Bacterial small subunit ribosomal RNA", at positions 337 to 872 of the family's 1533-position model. The record is from RNAcentral.